ACCCCAAACCGACACAGGUGGUCAGGUAGAGAAUACCAAGGCGCUUGAGAGAACUCGGGUGAAGGAACUAGGCAAAAUGGUGCCGUAACUUCGGGAGAAGGCACGCUGGCAUGUAGGUGAAGUCCCUCGCGGAUGGAGCUGAAGCCAGUCGAAGAUACCAGCUGGCUGCAACUGUUUAAUAAAAACACAGCACUGUGCAAACACGAAAGUGGACGUAUACGGUGUGACGCCUGCCCGGUGCUGGAAGGUUAAUUG
RNAcentral lists this ribosomal RNA (255 nucleotides) under Serratia marcescens. RNAcentral describes it as "partial 23S ribosomal RNA". It matches the Rfam family "Bacterial large subunit ribosomal RNA", at positions 1646 to 1883 of the family's 2925-position model. Lineage: Bacteria; Pseudomonadati; Pseudomonadota; Gammaproteobacteria; Enterobacterales; Yersiniaceae. The record is from RNAcentral. RNAcentral also lists the same sequence under 1 other name.